Molecule: ribosomal RNA, 497 nt
Filed under: uncultured bacterium
Lineage: Bacteria
Description: partial 16S ribosomal RNA
Rfam family: Bacterial small subunit ribosomal RNA
Source: RNAcentral
GAUGAACGCUGGCGGCGUGCCUAAUACAUGCAAGUCGAGCGAACAGACGAGGAGCUUGCUCCUCUGACGUUAGCGGCGGACGGGUGAGUAACACGUGUAUAACCUACCUAUAAGACUGGGAUAACUUCGGGAAACCGGAGCUAAUACCGGAUAAUAUAUUGAACCGCAUGGUUCAAUAGUGAAAGACGGUUUUGCUGUCACUUAUAGAUGGAUCCGCGCCGCAUUAGCUAGUUGGGAAGGUAACGGCUUACCAAGGCAACGAUGCGUAGCCGACGUGAGAGGGUGAUCGGCCACACUGGAACUGAGACACGGUCCAGACUCCUACGGGAGGCAGCAGUAGGGAAUAUUCCGCAAUGGGCGAAAGCAUGACGGAGCAACGCCGCGUGAGUGAUGAAGGUCUUAGGAUCGUAAAACUCUGUUAUUAGGGAAGAACAAAUGUGUAAGUAACUAUGCACGUCUUGACGGUACCUAAUCAGAAAGCCACGGCUAACUACGUG